GUCUGUGGCCAUACCACCCUGAACGCACCCAAUCUUGUCUGAUCUUGGAAGCUAAGCAGGGUCGGACCUGGUUAGUACUUGAAUGGGAGACCACAUGCGAAUACCGGGUGCUGUAGGUU
Molecule: ribosomal RNA, 119 nt
Filed under: Piliocolobus tephrosceles (Ugandan red Colobus)
Lineage: Eukaryota; Metazoa; Chordata; Mammalia; Primates; Cercopithecidae
Source: RNAcentral